AUUGAACGCUGGCGGCAGGCCUAACACAUGCAAGUCGAACGGUAACAGGAAACAGCUUGCUGUUUCGCUGACGAGUGGCGGACGGGUGAGUAAUGUCUGGGAAACUGCCUGAUGGAGGGGGAUAACUACUGGAAACGGUAGCUAAUACCGCAUAACGUCGCAAGACCAAAGAGGGGGACCUUCGGGCCUCUUGCCAUCAGAUGUGCCCAGAUGGGAUUAGCUAGUAGGUGGGGUAACGGCUCACCUAGGCGACGAUCCCUAGCUGGUCUGAGAGGAUGACCAGCCACACUGGAACUGAGACACGGUCCAGACUCCUACGGGAGGCAGCAGUGGGGAAUAUUGCACAAUGGGCGCAAGCCUGAUGCAGACAUGCCGCGUGUAUGAAGAAGGCCUUCGGGUUGUAAAGUACUUUCAGCGGGGAGGAAGGGAGUAAAGUUAAUACCUUUGCUCAUUGACGUUACCCGCAGAAGAAGCACCGGCUAACUCCGUG
Molecule: ribosomal RNA, 490 nt
Filed under: uncultured bacterium
Lineage: Bacteria
Description: partial 16S ribosomal RNA
Rfam family: Bacterial small subunit ribosomal RNA
Source: RNAcentral